RNAcentral lists this small RNA (1593 nucleotides) under Pan troglodytes (chimpanzee). Its description in RNAcentral is "retained intron". Lineage: Eukaryota; Metazoa; Chordata; Mammalia; Primates; Hominidae. The record is from RNAcentral.
GGGUGCAGGCUGAGGAGCUGCCCAGAGCACCGCUCACACUCCCAGAGUACCUGAAGUCGGCAUUUCAAUGACAGGUGACAAGGGUCCCCAAAGGCUAAGCGGGUCCAGCUAUGGUUCCAUCUCCAGCCCGACCAGCCCGACCAGCCCAGGGCCACAGCAAGCACCUCCCAGAGAGACCUACCUGAGAAACAUCGAGUCAGAUCUUCAGACUGGCGCCGUGGCGGGAUUCAAACUUCUCUGGGUGCUGCUCUGGGCCACGGUGUUGGGCUUGCUCUGCCAGCGACUGGCUGCACGUCUGGGCGUGGUGACAGGCAAGGACUUGGGCGAGGUCUGCCAUCUCUACUACCCUAAGGUGCCCCGCACCGUCCUCUGGCUGACCAUCGAGCUAGCCAUUGUGGGCUCCGACAUGCAGGAAGUCAUCGGCACGGCCAUUGCAUUCAAUCUGCUCUCAGCUGGACGGUACCACCCCAGUGUACCCCAACUCUUCAGGCCAGGCAGAGAACAGCUGCUGCUACUUCCCCCCACCCAGUCCCUCCCAGAGUCUAUUUUAUCCUGCUGUCCCCUCUGAAGCAGGGCUGCUGCCCUGUUUUCCAGAAAUGUAAAGUGACUUGUCUAAAGUCACACAGAUGUGAGUCAUGCAGGACUUUGGGACUGCAGCCCUAAACUCCCUGCUGCGCCGGGUGCCAGGUCUCUCCUCUAGCUCUGCCCUACCUCGACUGUUCUAUGCCACACUCCCACUCCCCUUGCCCUAGCUGUCUGGGGGCGCUUAGGGUCCUGCUCCCAGGAGGCCAGAUUCCUGUCUCCAGCCCUGAGGCUCCGUAGGAGUUAGAGACCCCUGGACCAGGCUGGGCUGACCCGGGCCACUCUGGUUUCAGAAUCCCACUCUGGGGUGGCGUCCUCAUCACCAUCGUGGACACCUUCUUCUUCCUCUUCCUCGAUAACUACGGGCUGCGGAAGCUGGAAGCUUUUUUUGGACUCCUUAUAACCAUUAUGGCCUUGACCUUUGGCUAUGAGUAUGUGGUGGCGCGUCCUGAGCAGGGAGCGCUUCUUCGGGGCCUGUUCCUGCCCUCGUGCCCGGGCUGCGGCCACCCCGAGCUGCUGCAGGCGGUGGGCAUUGUUGGCGCCAUCAUCAUGCCCCACAACAUCUACCUGCACUCGGCCCUGGUCAAGGUGAGCAGAGGGGAGGGGAAAGGAGACCACCUCACUCAGUCGGAGUCAUGCUGGCUCCGCCUCCAAGCCUGGAGCCCCUCCCCUCUGGCUCCUUCCGUCAGGAUUUGCGGAGCCUGUAAUAAUUGAGGGUCAGGCGAGGCGCCAUGGCUCACGCCUGUAAUCCCAGCACUUUGGGAGGCGGAGGCGGGCGGAUCACGAGGUCAAGAGAUCGACACCAUCCUGGUCAACAUGGCGAAACCCCGUCUCUACUAAAAAUACAAAAACUAGCUGGGCGUGGUGGCGCGCGCCUGUAGUCCCAGCUGCUUGGGAGGCUGAGGCAGGAGAAUCGCUUGAACCCGGGAGGCAGGGGUUGCGGUGAGCCGAGAUCGCGCCACUGCACCACUCCAGCCUGGCGACAGAGCGAGACUCUGUCUCAAAAAAAAA